Molecule: ribosomal RNA, 478 nt
Filed under: uncultured bacterium
Lineage: Bacteria
Description: partial 16S ribosomal RNA
Rfam family: Bacterial small subunit ribosomal RNA
Source: RNAcentral
GAUGAACGCUGGCGGCGUGCUUAACACAUGCAAGUCGAACGAGAAGUGAAGACGGAAACCUUCGGGCGGAAGGCUUUAUUUCGAGUGGCGGACGGGUGAGUAACGCGUGGGUAACCUGCCUCAUACAGGGGGAUAACAGUUGGAAACGACUGUUAAUACCGCAUAAGACCACAGCACCGCAUGGUGCGGGUGUAAAAACUCCGGUGGUAUGAGAUGGACCCGCGUUCGAUUAGCCAGUUGGCGGGGUAACGGCCCACCAAAGCGACGAUCGAUAGCCGAUCUGAGAGGAUGACCGGCCACAUUGGGACUGAGACACGGCCCAAACUCCUACGGGAGGCAGCAGUGGGGAAUAUUGCACAAUGGGGGAAACCCUGAUGCAGCGACGCCGCGUGAGUGAAGAAGUAUUUCGGUAUGUAAAGCUCUAUCAGCAGGGAAGAAAAUGACGGUACCUGAGUAAGAAGCCCCGGCUAACUACGUG